UGGGGAAUAUUGGACAAUGGGCGAAAGCCUGAUCCAGCCAUGCCGCGUGAGUGAUGAAGGCCCUAGGGUUGUAAAGCUCUUUCACCGGUGAAGAUAAUGACGGUAACCGGAGAAGAAGCCCCGGCUAACUUCGUGCCAGCAGCCGCGGUAAUACGAAGGGGGCUAGCGUUGUUCGGAAUUACUGGGCGUAAAGCGCACGUAGGCGGAUUGGUCAGUUAGGGGUGAAAUCCCGGGGCUCAACCCCGGAACUGCCUUUAAUACUGCCAAUCUAGAGUCCGAGAGAGGUGAGUGGAAUUCCGAGUGUAGAGGUGAAAUUCGUAGAUAUUCGGAGGAACACCAGUGGCGAAGGCGGCUCACUGGCUCGGUACUGACGCUGAGGUGCGAAAGCGUGGGGAGCAAACA
This 402-nucleotide ribosomal RNA is filed under the name uncultured Mesorhizobium sp. RNAcentral describes it as "bacterial SSU rRNA". It matches the Rfam family "Bacterial small subunit ribosomal RNA", at positions 355 to 774 of the family's 1533-position model. RNAcentral also lists the same sequence under 2 other names. Lineage: Bacteria; Pseudomonadati; Pseudomonadota; Alphaproteobacteria; Hyphomicrobiales; Phyllobacteriaceae. The record is from RNAcentral.